AUGCGUUGUUGGGUAGGGGAGCGUUCUGUAAGCCUGUGAAGGUGUGCUGUGAGGCAUGCUGGAGGUAUCAGAAGUGCGAAUGCUGACAUAAGUAACGAUAAAGCGGGUGAAAAGCCCGCUCGCCGGAAGACCAAGGGUUCCUGUCCAACGUUAAUCGGGGCAGGGUGAGUCGACCCCUAAGGCGAGGCCGAAAGGCGUAGUCGAUGGGAAACAGGUUAAUAUUCCUGUACUUGGUGUUACUGCGAAGGGGGGACGGAGAAGGCUAUGUUGGCCGGGCGACGGUUGUCCCGGUUUAAGCGUGUAGGCUGGUUUUCCAGGCAAAUCCGGAAAAUCAAGGCUGAGGCGUGAUGACGAGGCACUACGGUGCUGAAGCAACAAAUGCCCUGCUUCCAGGAAAAGCCUCUAAGCAUCAGGUAACAUCAAAUCGUACCCCAAACCGACACAGGUGGUCAGGUAGAGAAU
This 462-nucleotide ribosomal RNA is filed under the name Escherichia coli. Its description in RNAcentral is "partial 23S ribosomal RNA". It matches the Rfam family "Bacterial large subunit ribosomal RNA", at positions 1216 to 1679 of the family's 2925-position model. Lineage: Bacteria; Pseudomonadati; Pseudomonadota; Gammaproteobacteria; Enterobacterales; Enterobacteriaceae. The record is from RNAcentral.